CCCUUAGAUGUCCUGGGCUGCACGCGCGCUACACUGAUGUGUCCAGUAAGCACCUAACCUCUUCCGAAAGGAACGGGUAACCUUUGCAAAGCACAUCGUGAUGGGGAUAGAUUAUUGCAAUUAUUAGUCUUGAACGAGGAAUUCCUAGUAAGCACAAGUCAUCAGCUUGUGUUGAUUACGUCCCUACCCUUUGUACACACCGCCCGUCGCUCCUACCGAUUGAAUGUUCCGGUGAGCUCUUCGGACUGCGCGGUCUGCAGUUUCUGCGUUCCGUGCGGAAAGUUGCGCAAACCUUAACAUUUAGAGGAAGGAGAAGUCGUAACA
This 324-nucleotide ribosomal RNA is filed under the name uncultured eukaryote. RNAcentral's name for it is "partial 18S ribosomal RNA". It matches the Rfam family "Eukaryotic small subunit ribosomal RNA", at positions 1470 to 1796 of the family's 1831-position model. The record is from RNAcentral.